RNAcentral lists this ribosomal RNA (403 nucleotides) under uncultured bacterium. RNAcentral's name for it is "bacterial SSU rRNA". It matches the Rfam family "Bacterial small subunit ribosomal RNA", at positions 356 to 773 of the family's 1533-position model. The record is from RNAcentral.
GGGGGAUAUUGCACAAUGGGCGAAAGCCUGAUGCAGCAAUGCCGCGUGAGGGAAGAAGGUCUUCGGAUUGUAAACCUCUGUUUUUAGUGACGAAACAAAUGACGGUAACUAAAGAGGAAGCUCCGGCUAACUACGUGCCAGCAGCCGCGGUAAUACGUAGGGAGCGAGCGUUGUCCGGAUUUACUGGGUGUAAAGGGUGCGCAGGCGGGACUGCAAGUUGGAUGUGAAAUACCGGGGCUUAACCCCGGGGCUGCAUCCAAAACUGUGGUUCUUGAGUGAAGUAGAGGUAGGCGGAAUUCCGAGUGUAGCGGUGAAAUGCGUAGAUAUUCGGAGGAACACCAGUGGCGAAGGCGGCCUACUGGGCUUUAACUGACGCUGAGGCACGAAAGCAUGGGGAGCAAAC